UCUUUGGAGAGUUUGAUCCUGGCUCAGGACGAACGCUGGCGGCGUGCCUAAUACAUGCAAGUCGAGCGAAC
This 71-nucleotide ribosomal RNA is filed under the name Oikeobacillus pervagus. RNAcentral's name for it is "partial 16S ribosomal RNA". It matches the Rfam family "Bacterial small subunit ribosomal RNA", at positions 1 to 71 of the family's 1533-position model. Lineage: Bacteria; Bacillati; Bacillota; Bacilli; Caryophanales; Bacillaceae. The record is from RNAcentral.